GUAAAAUUGACGAAUUUUGUAGAUGCUGAUUAUGCAAGAGAUAUGGAUAGUAGGAAAUCGACUUCGUCUUAUGUGUUUACCUUAUCCAAUUCAUGUGUUAGUUGAAAAUCACAGUUACAACACAUUAUUACACUAUCCAGUACAGAAUCAAAAUAUAUUGUCACCACUGAAGCUAUUUAAGAAGAUCUAUGGCUUAAAGGUCUACUCCAUGAACUACGUGUCUUUAAUGAUUAUGUGGUAGUGUAUUCUAAUAGUCAGUCAUCUAUACAUUUAUGCAAGAACCCCGUUUUUCACGAGCACACUAAACACAUUGAUGUUAAACUUCACUUCAUUAGAGAUAUAGUAUCCAAGAGACAAAAUUAUGUGUUCGCGAAGGCAACUUUCCUUAUUUGAUUCAACUCUUUUGGAAGACAAUUGGACGUGAAUUUUGGCCUAAUUUCAUCAUAUAAAUACAAUAUAUGGGCAGCAAUAAAAGGGUCUCUCUCUUGCCUCUUCAUACACAAUAGUUUCAUCAAAUUCAUCCAGAACAAGGAGUCAAUUGCUAUAUGUUAACAGAGAAGAUCAAGUCAUAGCAAGGAAUUGAAGUUCAAUUACAUCAAGUUUUGAAGAAUUCAGCUAUAGACGUGAAGAUCAACAUCUUUUGUAUUCUUUCAUGAUCCGGGUAAUAUUUUUCUAUUAUUCUUAUUGUAAUUUAUAUAUUAAUAUGCUAUGCUAGUUUUCAUUGUAUUGGAUGAAUGAUGAACCCUAC
This 748-nucleotide long non-coding RNA is filed under the name Olea europaea subsp. europaea. Lineage: Eukaryota; Viridiplantae; Streptophyta; Magnoliopsida; Lamiales; Oleaceae. The record is from RNAcentral.